This 130-nucleotide ribosomal RNA is filed under the name Diaphorina citri (Asian citrus psyllid). Lineage: Eukaryota; Metazoa; Arthropoda; Insecta; Hemiptera; Psyllidae. The record is from RNAcentral.
GCCAGUGGUGAUAGCACAAUGAAUACACCAGUUCUAAAUGGAUCACUGAAGUUAAGCAAAGUUGCACGUGGUUGGUAUCCAGAUAAGUGACCAAUUCAACUCUCUGGGCAAUAAUCGCGUACUGCUGGUU